UCCGGGGAGUAAUCCUCAUCACUUCCCAGGGGCUCCACGCCACUUGGGUCCCGGGUCGAGGCCUUUCCUGCCUGGAAUUAAAUGUCUUUUGAUAAAUCAUCACCUGGAGCACAGUGGAUUCCGGUGGAUUGAGAUCUCGUAAAAAAAUGCAGUGAACCGAUUCCGAUAAAAUAAAAAACCGGAUAAAUUUCUGAAUCCUGGGGUCUAGAUCGAGCCUUCCCCGAAGACGAGACUUACGAGGCAACACCUGGCACCACAUGGCACCAAUCAAUAUAUGAUAUAGAGAGUGGAAUAUUCGCCAUCAGGUCAGGCACUCGAAGAUCUCGGCCUGCAGAGUCUAAGGGACACAUUCUGAUAUCAAUCCUCAAGAACGUCUGAAUGUCCACCAGAGUGCAUAGUCCAAUAUGACAGACCCCAGACAAUGCCAAUACAUAAUACAUCACUAUCUCCGUCUUGUUGCGUCUUGUUGCGACUACACGAAUAAUUUUACAGCAUAUCGCGAAACUACUGCAGGUCCAAUGUUCAUUCAAUAUUUCCCAGCGUUUUCUUUAUUUUAUUCAAUUGCGGACUUGCCGUAUGUCACGUUGGCCAUUUCCUUGGUCUUCCGUAUUGACGUCUGAAUAUUUUUUUAUCAAAUUCAUUCCUGGGAAAGUUGUAAUUAAAUAUCGAGAUUUGCGUAAUUUUUAUUG
Molecule: long non-coding RNA, 689 nt
Organism: Fopius arisanus
Lineage: Eukaryota; Metazoa; Arthropoda; Insecta; Hymenoptera; Braconidae
Exons: 3
Source: RefSeq, a predicted model, not a curated record